This is a long non-coding RNA of Felis catus (domestic cat), 1034 nucleotides long. RefSeq lists it as uncharacterized. Lineage: Eukaryota; Metazoa; Chordata; Mammalia; Carnivora; Felidae. The record is from RefSeq and is a predicted model, not a curated record. The transcript is spliced from 3 exons.
GCCGCACCUUCGCCCACUCUGGAGAGGUCAGUCGUAUCUCGUUGUUCAGUGAUCCGAGAGGUGGAAAACUAUUGGUUCAGAGAGCCCGUCAGACCGGAUUGGAGUGAGCCAUGAUUGGUCAGCACCGACACGAUCAGGCUGAUGGAAAAUGCAUUGGAGUCUAAUCCAGAAUCACAGCCAGAAAUCUAGAGUCACAAGAAUUCACAAGUCCAUGAAUUUCACCAAGAUCCUUUUUUAUGCCCCUCCUCAAAUUCAAUGAAAGAAUUGAAUGUGGGAAGACAUGGCUUUGUAAGGCAUUACUAGGACCUUGGUGGACUUAAAGUCAUGGAACUGAAUUGUAUUAAUGGUAUCAAACUCUUAUCACUAAGGUAAGGCUUUUUUGUUGCCCUUCCUGAGUUGAGAUUUCAGCUUUCUCUUUCAUUCUGUGAGAGAACCAAAAGACUCCUUUCAAUAAAUUUCCCCUUUUUCUUUAAGUUUCCAGAAACAGUUUCUGAUGCCUGCAAUCAAAAGAAUAUAUUAUAGGCUCUGUGUUGGGACUUGUGUUGCAAAGAAAUAUACUAUAUUUAUAUCACAAGGAAAUAAAUUAUUCUACCCCUGGAACAUAGUUACAUAUAUAUUUCCUUAAAAAUUUUAUACAAGUCUGCUGGUGGCUCUCAAACAUCUCUCUCCAGCAUGACUCUCACCUCAGUUGCUGAGGUUAAAACCGAGGAAUCAUUCUCCGUUUCUAUUUUUCCCUUCCCACAUUCAAUCCAUUAACAAGUUCUAUCAGUUCUGCCUUUAAAAUCCAGCCAGAAAUCAACCACUUUUCAUCUUAACCACUUUUCAUCGCAUUCUAGUCUAAACCAUCACCAUCUUUACCCUGGACAUCAGCAACAGUUUCCUAAUCCUUCUUUUUGUUUCCACUCUAGCUUUUCCACACAGUAGCCAGUGUGAUUCUUUUAAAAUGUCAUCAAGGGGCAUCUGGGUGGCUCAGUUGGUUGUGUCUGACUCUUGAUCUCAGCUCAGGUCAUGAGCUCACAGUUUGUGGGAUCAAG